ACGGAAGGCAGCAGUGAGGAAUAUUGGUCAAUGGAGGCAACUCUGAACCAGCCAUCUCGCGUGAAGGAAUACGGCCCUAUGGGUCUUAAACUUCUUUUAUAGGGGGAUAAAGUGAGGCAUGCAUGCCUUUUUGUAGGUACCCUAUGAAUAAGCAUCGGCUAACUCCGUGCCAGCAGCCGCGGUAAUACGGAGGAUGCGAGCGUUAUCCGGAUUUAUUGGGUUUAAAGGGUGCGCAGGCGGCACGUUAAGUCAGCGGUGAAAUGCAGGGGCUCAACCCCGGCACUGCCGUUGAAACUGGCGAGCUCGAGUACGGAUGAAGUCGGCGGAAUGUGAUGUGUAGCGGUGAAAUGCUUAGAUAUCACACAGAACACCGAUUGCGAAGGCAGGCGACGAUACCAUUUCUGACGCUCAGGCACGAAAGCGUGGGGAUCGAACAGGAUUAGAUACCCUGGUA
RNAcentral lists this ribosomal RNA (454 nucleotides) under uncultured Parabacteroides sp. Its description in RNAcentral is "partial 16S ribosomal RNA". It matches the Rfam family "Bacterial small subunit ribosomal RNA", at positions 341 to 792 of the family's 1533-position model. The record is from RNAcentral. Lineage: Bacteria; Pseudomonadati; Bacteroidota; Bacteroidia; Bacteroidales; Tannerellaceae.